UCUGUGCUUUUACGGAUGUACGUAAAGUUCCAAGUUUUAAACGCAAUCUUACGCAGGAUGGGCACAUGGGAUUGCUACUGCUGUAUCCUCGAGUGAAGGGUCAGAGGGCACCAGGUCGUAGUAGGGCAGCUGAUAUUCUUCAAGGAUACCUGUUAGCACAGGACAACAGUUGAGAUGGCAAUUUGAGGUCGAUGCUGUUGCAGUAGUCAGUGUAGCAGCAGUGGAUGUUGACAAGGCCCUCCGCACUGAGACAGUAGAAGGGGUGUCCAGGAGGUUCAAGUUGGUCUCUGGUGAUGCAAGUACGAACGUGCUGCUCUUGACCAUCGAUGAGGGACAUGGAGGCCAUGCAAGCUCCGUCCGUCUCACACCAAAAGCCCCUUCUCUCACAUUGCGCAGUGGUACAGUUACACAGAAGAGCUAUGUAGAAAGAUGGAGGCAUGAUUAAAGGCUGAAGCGCCCAAGAGAGUCACAAGAUAUGCCUGAAAAGUCAAACAAAACUUUGGAAUUCAAACCAUCAUUAUGUGU
Molecule: long non-coding RNA, 525 nt
Organism: Phycodurus eques (leafy seadragon)
Lineage: Eukaryota; Metazoa; Chordata; Actinopteri; Syngnathiformes; Syngnathidae
Exons: 3
Source: RefSeq, a predicted model, not a curated record